CCUCACUGUUCUUAAUCUACGUCCGCGGUAACGACUCUGGUCCUCUUGUACACUUUUUUCCCCAGAGGGAGAGACCCCUGGGCAGAAGGAAGAAAGGAACAGGUGCACAGAACCUUGCCCGGAAGCGCGGACGGGGUUCCCCCAGGCAGGGGUGCACCUGGGGGGCUCACGCGCCACACGUCAUCCUGGGCUCCAGUGCGGACCUGCGGCGGCCCCCGCCGCGCGGACGUCAGAGCCGCGUUGCCAUGGAGUUCCCAGCUGUGUCUGAUGUGGAGUUUCCCGUAACAUCUUCUCUGCUAAGAAAAAUUGGGUAGAUCGCUACACUACCGAACACACUUGGGCUAUCGAAUAUGCUGGGUUUUUCUAUUACAGUUCAUUGGUUUCUGCUUUUUCAAAUACCUCAAAUCCACUUACCACGCCCUUGGAGCCUUUUCUCGCUAAGAGGAGCAUUUCAAGGACAAAUUACGUGUGGUUAAGUAAGACUAGUGGGAUUAUUGGACCACUACAUUGCUUUAGUUAUUCAAUUAUAACAAGACUUAAGCUGUACUCGUCUGAAACUUGCCUAACAUGUACACUUACCUGGGAAUUUUCCAAGUGUGUAUACUCUGAUGAUCCCAACCCUCCUUACAAGUAAAUUGGAUGUGCUAAAACAAUAAACAUGUAAUUUAACUUUUAUUAACACUUACUGUGAGCUUGACACUGUUUAAAGAGAUUCACAUGUUAAUUAAAUUAAUAAUUGUGCUCAUUCAA
Long non-coding RNA from Pipistrellus kuhlii (Kuhl's pipistrelle), 750 nucleotides. RefSeq lists it as uncharacterized. The transcript is spliced from 2 exons. The record is from RefSeq and is a predicted model, not a curated record. Lineage: Eukaryota; Metazoa; Chordata; Mammalia; Chiroptera; Vespertilionidae.